UGUUGGUGGGGUAAUGGCUCACCAAGGCGACGACGGGUAGCCGGCCUGAGAGGGUGACCGGCCACACUGGGACUGAGACACGGCCCAGACUCCUACGGGAGGCAGCAGUGGGGAAUAUUGCACAAUGGGCGGAAGCCUGAUGCAGCGACGCCGCGUGAGGGAUGACGGCCUUCGGGUUGUAAACCUCUUUCAGUAGGGAAGAAGCGAGAGUGACGGUACCUGCAGAAGAAGCGCCGGCUAACUACGUGCCAGCAGCCGCGGUAAUACGUAGGGCGCAAGCGUUGUCCGGAAUUAUUGGGCGUAAAGAGCUCGUAGGCGGUUUGUCGCGUCUGCUGUGAAAGCCCGGGGCUCAACCCCGGGUCUGCAGUGGGUACGGGCAGACUAGAGUGCAGUAGGGGAGACUGGAAUUCCUGGUGUAGCGGUGAAAUGCGCAGAUAUCAGGAGGAACACCGAUGGCGAAGGCAGGUCUCUGGGCUGUUACUGACGCUGAGGAGCGAAAGCAUGGGGAGCGAA
RNAcentral lists this ribosomal RNA (513 nucleotides) under Shigella flexneri. RNAcentral describes it as "bacterial SSU rRNA". It matches the Rfam family "Bacterial small subunit ribosomal RNA", at positions 247 to 772 of the family's 1533-position model. Lineage: Bacteria; Pseudomonadati; Pseudomonadota; Gammaproteobacteria; Enterobacterales; Enterobacteriaceae. The record is from RNAcentral.